CAAGUCGAACGGAAAGGCCUCUUCGGAGGUACUCGAGUGGCGAACGGGUGAGUAACACGUGGGCAAUNUGCCCUGCACUUCGGGAUAAGCCUGGGAAACUGGGUCUAAUACCGGAUAGGACCUUAAGACGCAUGUCUUUUGGUGGAAAGCUUUUGCGGUGUGGGAUGGGCCCGCGGCCUAUCAGCUUGUUGGUGGGGUGACGGCCUACCAAGGCGACGACGGGUAGCCGGCCUGAGAGGGUGUCCGGCCACACUGGGACUGAGAUACGGCCCAGACUCCUACGGGAGGCAGCAGUGGGGAAUAUUGCACAAUGGGCGCAAGCCUGAUGCAGCGACGCCGCGUGGGGGAUGACGGCCUUCGGGUUGUAAACCUCUUUCACCAUCGACGAAGGUCCGGGUUUCCCGG
RNAcentral lists this ribosomal RNA (405 nucleotides) under Mycobacteriaceae bacterium Ellin7117. RNAcentral describes it as "bacterial SSU rRNA". It matches the Rfam family "Bacterial small subunit ribosomal RNA", at positions 58 to 467 of the family's 1533-position model. Lineage: Bacteria; Bacillati; Actinomycetota; Actinomycetes; Mycobacteriales; Mycobacteriaceae. The record is from RNAcentral.